UCUGCCAUACAGCUCAGUUGGUAGAGCCCAAGACUCUUAAUCUCAGGGUGGUGGGUUUGAGCCCCAUGUUGGGCAGAA
This is a non-coding RNA of Podarcis lilfordi (Lilford's wall lizard), 78 nucleotides long. Lineage: Eukaryota; Metazoa; Chordata; Lepidosauria; Squamata; Lacertidae. The record is from the annotation of a GenBank genome assembly.